This is a long non-coding RNA of Alexandromys fortis (reed vole), 249 nucleotides long. RefSeq lists it as uncharacterized. The transcript has 3 exons. The record is from RefSeq and is a predicted model, not a curated record. NCBI's taxonomy places the organism in Eukaryota, Metazoa, Chordata, Mammalia, Rodentia, Cricetidae.
UUAUACUAUGGGUAUUCCAGGCACACAGAAACUACAACCAAAUGAUCAAGAUGCAGCUUCUUCUCUACCCUCAGCUCUUUCUCCAGCACCAUGUCUGCCUGUAUGCCAUCAUAUCCUGCCCUGAUGACAAAGGACUAAGCCUUUUGAACUCUGAGACAAAGUCGUAUCACUCUGAGCCAGACCCUGCGAUGUGUCCAUGAUUGUUGAGUGGCUGAGUAACCCACAAUCUUCAAGGCAGAUGGGAGAAAU